Molecule: ribosomal RNA, 201 nt
Filed under: uncultured bacterium
Lineage: Bacteria
Description: partial 16S ribosomal RNA
Rfam family: Bacterial small subunit ribosomal RNA
Source: RNAcentral
GUAGUCUGCAACCCGACUACAUGAAGCUGGAAUCGCUAGUAAUCGCGGAUCAGCAUGCCGCGGUGAAUACGUUCCCGGGUCUUGUACACACCGCCCGUCACACCAUGGGAGUCGGGAAUGCCCGAAGCCGGUGGCCCGAUCGAGAGAAGGGAGCCGUCGAAGGCAGGCCGGAUGACUGGGGUGAAGUCGUAACAAGGUAGC